Molecule: ribosomal RNA, 1223 nt
Filed under: Ephemerella sp. Yunnan-2018
Lineage: Eukaryota; Metazoa; Arthropoda; Insecta; Ephemeroptera; Ephemerellidae
Description: 16S ribosomal RNA
Rfam family: Bacterial large subunit ribosomal RNA
Source: RNAcentral
GGUUUAAGGGCAAAAUUGGUAAAAUAAGAAUUAAUAAAAGAAUUUUUAGUUUGAGUAGGGUAUAGCGAAGGGAUUGUUAAAGUAAGUACUGUGAAGGAUUUGUGAAAGAAUAUAAGCACUAAAUAAAAGAAGUUACGUAACGUACCUUUUGUAUCAGGGUUUAUUAAAUAUAGGGAAGAAUAUUAAAAUCUCGAUAUAAGGAGGGCUAACUUAGUAAAUUGGUUAAAGUGGCAAAUUUAUUUACCAUACUUAGUUAGGAGUGAAAUGCUAGUCGAUCUUUAAGGUAUCUAGUUUUUCAAGAAAUGAAUUUAAUUCAGGUAUUAGGUGUAGUACUAUGUGAUAGGGGGUUUAGCAACCGAGUACAAAAAUUUUAGGGGAUAAGCUCUAAUUUAUUUUAUAAAUUUGGAAUUUACGAAAGGGUGUAGGUUUAAAAGUAGCCACCAAAAGGAUGUUAUAGUUUAUCUUGGUUAAGAAGAAUUUUGCUAGUUUAAAUAGAUAUUGAAACAAUUUUGUAAAUAAGAAGCAAAGUGGGAUAAUGAUAAAAUGAAUAUUGAGGGUAUAUUUUAUUAAGGAAUUCGGCAAAGUUGUGCCCGCCUGUUUAUCAAAAACAUCGCCUCUGGGGUAUGUAAGAGGUCUUACCUGCCCACUGAAACUUUUAAGGGCCGCGGUAUUUUGACCGUGCAAAGGUAGCAUAAUCAUUAGCCUCUUAAUUAGAGGCUGGGAUGAAAGGUGGGACGAGGUACAAACUGUCUCCAUAAAAAAGAAGAAAUUAACUUUUUAGUUAAAAGGCUAAAAUAAUAUUAAAGGACGAGAAGACCCUAUAGAACUUCAUAAAUUAGGCUUAAGCCUUUAGGAAAAUAUGUUACUUAAAGCUAAAUUUUAUUAUGUUGGGGUGACGGGGUAAUAAAUUAACUUACCUUAUGUAAAACAUAAUAAGUGAAUAAAGGAUCCAUAAAUAAUGAAUAAAAAAUUAAGUUACCUUAGGGAUAACAGCGUAAUCCUUUUUGAGAGUUCAUAUCGAUAAGAGGGGUUGCGACCUCGAUGUUGGAUUAAAGGUAAUUUUAGGUGCAGCCGCUUAGAGUUGGGGUCUGUUCGACCCUUAAAACUUUACAUGAUCUGAGUUCAGACCGGCGUGAGCCAGGUCGGUUUCUAUCCUUAAUAAACAAAAUAUUUUAGUACGAAAGGACCAAAUAUUAGGGAUAAUUCUUUAAUUAAAGAAUAUU